Molecule: ribosomal RNA, 254 nt
Filed under: uncultured bacterium
Lineage: Bacteria
Description: partial 16S ribosomal RNA
Rfam family: Bacterial small subunit ribosomal RNA
Source: RNAcentral
UACGUAGGGGGCAAGCGUUGUCCGGAUUUAUUGGGCGUAAAGAGCUCGUAGGCGGUUCCGUAAGUCGUGAAGUCAAAUCUCUGGGCUCAACCCAGAAUCGCUUCCGAUACUGCGGUGACUGGAGUCCGGUAGGGGAGUGUGGAAUUCCUGGUGUAGCGGUGAAAUGCGCAGAUAUCAGGAGGAACACCAACAGCGAAGGCAGCACUCUGGGCCACUACUGACGCUGAGAAGCGAAAGCAUGGGGAGCGAACAGG